AUUGAACGCUGGCGGCAUGCUUUACACAUGCAAGUCGAACGGCAGCGCGGGCUUCGGCCUGGCGGCGAGUGGUGAACGGGUGAGUAAUACAUCGGAACGUGCCCAGUAGUGGGGGAUAGCUCGGCGAAAGCCGGAUUAAUACCGCAUACGACCUGAGGGUGAAAGCGGGGGAUCUUCGGACCUCGCGCUAUUGGAGCGGCCGAUGGCAGAUUAGCUAGUUGGUGGGGUAAAGGCCUACCAAGGCGACGAUCUGUAGCUGGUCUGAGAGGACGACCAGCCACACUGGGACUGAGACACGGCCCAGACUCCUACGGGAGGCAGCAGUGGGGAAUUUUGGACAAUGGGCGAAAGCCUGAUCCAGCAAUGCCGCGUGUGUGAUGAAGGCCUUCGGGUUGUAAAGCACUUUUGGCGGGAACGAAAAGGACUGUGCCAAUACCACGGUUCGAUGACGGUACCCGCAGAAUAAGCACCGGCUAACUACGUG
RNAcentral lists this ribosomal RNA (484 nucleotides) under uncultured bacterium. RNAcentral's name for it is "partial 16S ribosomal RNA". It matches the Rfam family "Bacterial small subunit ribosomal RNA", at positions 29 to 507 of the family's 1533-position model. The record is from RNAcentral.